This is a non-coding RNA of Vicugna pacos (alpaca), 72 nucleotides long. The record is from the annotation of a RefSeq genome assembly. NCBI's taxonomy places the organism in Eukaryota, Metazoa, Chordata, Mammalia, Artiodactyla, Camelidae.
GUGGGUAUAGCUCAGUGGUAGAGUGUGUGCCUCUCAGGCAUGAGGUCCUGGGUUCAAUCCCCAGCACCUCCA